AUACGUAGGUGCCAAGCGUUAUCCGGAUUUACUGGGCGUAAAGGGCGUGUAGGCGGUCUUGCAAGUCAGAAGUGAAAUUCCUGAGCUCAACUCGGGCGCUGCUUCUGAAACUGCAGGACUUGAGUGCUGGAGGGGAUAGCGGAAUUCCUAGUGGAGCGGUAAAAUGCGCAGAUAUUAGGAAGAACACCGGUGGCGUAGGCGACUAUCAGGACAUCAACUGGCGUUGCGGGGCACACGCAUGGGUUGCGAGCAGGAUGAGUCACCCUCGUUGCCCGUGUUGUAACCGGUGGGUGCUAGGCAUAGUGAUCUGCCCCUAUUUCUGUGCCGUACGUACAGCAUUAAGCGACCCGGCUGGGGAGUACGGUCGCAAGGCUGAUACUCAAACGAAUUGACGGGG
This 397-nucleotide ribosomal RNA is filed under the name uncultured bacterium. RNAcentral's name for it is "partial 16S ribosomal RNA". It matches the Rfam family "Bacterial small subunit ribosomal RNA", at positions 523 to 918 of the family's 1533-position model. The record is from RNAcentral.